GCUGAAAAUAUAAGGGAAAAUACACAUUUCAUAACUAAAAACAAGUUUUUAUGUCUAAAACAUUCAUUUAGGGUGAAAUUGUAGCUAAUCGAAUAAAAUAAAAAUAUUAAAUGAAAUAUUCCAUUUUCUUAUAAAACAAUAUUUAUAGAAAUCUGCGUAAAUAAUUUUGUAGCGUAAAAGCAAAAUAAAUUCAUACAUACAGUAACACAAAUAACCAAAGUAUGUAAUUUAAUUUGCAAUGACGUGUGGGCCGCCGAAUGACCAAAGGUAACAAAAGCUGUGGAUCUACAAUUUUUGAGGAGGCGAGUCCAAAAAUAACCCUCGAUGUAAUCAGCUAUUUAUUGACUGUCCUGAUCCUGGAAUGAGUGGAAAAGAGGGUGGUGAGUUUAUAUAAACUCAGUGAGUAAACAAACAUCAUCUAAAAUAUCUAAAGCUGAGUAAAUGGAGACAACUUAAAAUAGUUCAUCGUACUAUGAUUCAUAACGUUUCAAACUCAUUUCAACUAAAUAAGAUAAUUUCAUUUCACCAAAUAAUCAACAUGGCUUAUGAAUUUCUUAAAAAUUUGGCUCGAGCCAAAACUCAUUCUCGGGGAUACCUUGGUCGAGGCAUCCAACCGAGUCCGCCAAGGCUGUUAAAGAAAAGUUCAUCUACGCAUAAAACACAUUUUUAUGUUUAAGAGUAUAGCCGUUUCUUGGCAUUGGCUGAGUUCACCCUCACGUGGCGGUUUAACGUGUAGUGAACUCUAAAGCUUUACCUCAGGAGAUACCCUCUGCACCUCUUGUACCGAGGCAAAAUAUAACCGAGUUUACCGUGCCUUUCUCUAAUAGGCUGGUCCAUGGAAACCCGCCACUACAGUGACUAAUCAAUAUCCCACCAAAUCAAUAAAAAUUUCGACAACAUGACAUGACAAUUAUAUUACUACCUAGCCUAUUAAGGCAAAACAAACAAUUCAUACAAUUUCAAUACAAUUUCCAAUUCAGCCAUUCAUGCCAAUAUCACCAUAAGCCAUUCAAUUCAAACCAUAAAUUUACAAUACAAUUAAACAGUCUCCAAUUACUCAAUUUCUAAAAUCAUCAUUCAAUUUCAAAAUGAUUUAUAAAAAUCAUUUCAUUUAAUCACAGUUUACUUAUAAAACAUAAGGAUUUACCAUUUAAACUCAUUUUUCUAUAAAAUCACAAAAACGAAUAAAAACUACUUUAGAUAAUUAAGAUGAUAAUAAGGUUACUCACAAUAUUGGGAGUUGAAGUACUCCUAGUCCGGAUCUUCGGGUACAAUCUCCUUACCCUUAUCUGAAGUUUCACCACCUAAACAUAAUGCACAACAAGCAAUUUACUAUAUUUAUACUAAACCGUUAUAAAACUAAUUUAGGCUCUAUAUCAAUGCAUGAAAUGGGAUGCGAAAUGUUUAGAUUAUUAUCUAAAUAUGGUGUUCUACGUAGCUUCAAUUAUGUAUCGAAAUAAAAUGGUAUUGGCCUAAUUCGAUCUAUACACUAGUUAAUUGGCCAAUAUAUCCAAUUCAACUCCAAUUAACUUGAUUCCACUUCCAACACUCCAAGUCAUCAAUUACAAGUUAAAUUGUCAUGACCCGAUACUCCCCUCGAGCCCGUGACAACCAUCGCGAUAUCUCGGUAGACACUCAUUGCCCGAAAUGUUAACUCGAAACCCCGCAAGGCUUUACUAUCAGUUCCUCAUUUCCCUUGUGAGCAACCAUUGUCAAAUAUCGUGUUCUAAAAGAUUUUAAACUGUUUCCAACUAAAAAUAAAUAAAAUAUUAAUUUUUGUCUCAUAGGGGUAUUUUGGUCAUUUUUUCUCAAAAUUUUUGAAACUGGUUAAAACGUAAUAUACAAGUACAAAACACAUAAUUCA
RNAcentral lists this long non-coding RNA (1864 nucleotides) under Theobroma cacao (cacao). Its description in RNAcentral is "long non-coding RNA (TCAC_LNC004827)". Lineage: Eukaryota; Viridiplantae; Streptophyta; Magnoliopsida; Malvales; Malvaceae. The record is from RNAcentral.